Molecule: non-coding RNA, 3267 nt
Organism: Oryza sativa Japonica Group (Japanese rice)
Lineage: Eukaryota; Viridiplantae; Streptophyta; Magnoliopsida; Poales; Poaceae
Source: RefSeq, a predicted model, not a curated record
UGCCCAUCGCCUGGAGUAGGGUUGGGUUCGAAUUGGAUCGAUCUCCUCUCUGUGGUUACUUAGGUUUCGCUCUAAACAAUGUAACUGCUUAGAUUUUACUCUGCCUAUAUAGAUUUACCUCGGAUAGAUAAUUUUUUGGAGAUACAGAUGCUGUCAUGUCAUUGGGAAGGCAUUACAAUUGGCUGUGUUAUUACUGGUGUGAUGAUGAUGAUGAGAUUUGAGAUGAAUGUAUAGUUAGAUGGCGUCCUAGCUCCUAAGUCUCUAAGAUGAUGUUCAAAUUAUUUUUUUUUCACCGGGCCGGUGGAUAGUGUUCAAAUUAUAUUUAAUAUAAAUUGCGAUAUAUAUAUCUCACCAUCUGUUUUUUUUAUUCUUUCACUUUUACAGUGUUACUUGCGCCUAGUUUCACUCUUCGUGUUUAGAGAUCCCGUGGUGCCACAUUCAGGGUUUUCAAUUUCGAUUUCGGCUAAAAUUUCGGUCAAUUCGGUAGAACCGAAAUUCCCAAAAUUUCGGCAUUUUUUGGGCCGAAAUUUUCUGAAAUUUUGACACAAUUUAACUGAUUUUGACUAAAUUCACAAAAAGCUGAGAGAAACCGAAAAUUUCGGCCGAGAUAUUGACUUGCCCGGGGGGGCGGGGGGUCCGAAAUUUCAAAACGUAAUUUCAUCCCAUGUUUGAACCAAGAGAUUUGAGGAAAUGUGAAAUUGGUAGUGGAAUUAUCUCUGUUUGAUAGGAUGCUAUUGGAGGCUGAAUGAUGAAUAGGAUGAACAUUUCGCUAAAAAAGUUGAAUAGAAUGAACAAAAAAAAGUAUUUUGAUUAUUCCAAGGCCUGGUUGAUUAGGAAGGACAAAAACACUACGCAGAGAACUUAUGCUGUCUUCUGUAAUUUUGAUUCAAAAUCUUGCACAAAGUAACUCUUUCUUUUAUUUUCCUUUUUACCUCUUAAGGGCUAUUUCUUCAAUUUUAAGAUCUUCGCGCUCAGCAAUGAAAUUGUGACAUACAACCUUGGAAAAACCAAUAAACUCAGCUAAUGUGUUGGGUGCUUCUUCAACGACAUCUGAUGAUGCCGUGCCACAACCAGUUGUCCUGAGAUCAUGAUGCAACCAUUGUGCAGCUAAGUUUUGGAGACCGUCUGAGGGCACUCCUUGUACUUGAUAUGCUUUUUGCUGGAGUGGGUGAUGGUAGUACAGUACGGCUUCUUCAUGCGUGAAGAACUCCUGUGAAGGACUGAAACUCUGCAAAGGACGAGGCUUAGUGGAGGGGGGUUGGAUCGGAGGCGUGCGACUGAUGCCAGAAAUUCUGAUCGAGUCAGAUGAUCAUAUUACUAGUAUAGCUGGCUAAACAGACGAACAGUACAGUGUUUUCGCGUCCAUGAUCUUUGAUCGAUGAGAGCAAUAGCAUCAUCGUGUUCUUCGCCGGCACGUGGUAAUGGGCAGAAUCUCCUGAAAAAGUUGCCAUGCUCAUGCACAGGUAAGAAUAGGAUUGAAAGGAAUUCACAGUGGAAAAGAGUGUUUUUGAGCCAUGUGAUGUGUUUGUUCUCCCCUUUCCAGCUUGGUUUACACCUGUGGUGAAUGAAUGUUCGAUAGCAGUAUUACCAUCAUGCAAGUUCCAUUGAAAGAAAUCACCCAAGAACCCGGACAGAACAUUCAUAAUGCUCAAGAACAGCCCUGGUGCCUGAAUUCUUGAUUCAUACGCCUAUUUGAAGUUUUUCGGAUUCUCGUAGAAUUUAAGUUGUUUGCUUUGAAAGGCCUGAUGGAUCCUAAAAUGUCAGACCGAAUAACUCUUUCAUCAUACUACUACUAGUACAUGAAAAUAUACGAGUUGUUUUAACGAGCAGCCAAGAUUAAACUUGCGAGACAUUUCAGCAGCAACUUUAACCGUCUGGCAUUCAACAGGGUAAGAUAAGAUAUAUGCUACUUCAUGCCAAAGUUAGCUCAUCAGGAAAGGCUGCAAAUAACAGUGACCAAUCUUGGCAGUUGUAGGUAGUAAACAAUUAGAUUAAGCUUUGAAACAUUUUCCACGUUUCAUGAACCAACACUCAAUAAUGAAGAUGAAUCUAUUGUAAUCAACCCUCCCCCUAGAAAGAAUUAUUCAUUGAAUUUGGAAUCGAGUACAGAAACUCAAAUUGUCAUCAACUGGUCAAUUCACAGAGAACUAUAUAGACAAGUAAUAAUUCAUUAACAAAACAACUCUGAACCUGUAGUAUGGGUAUGAGCAUAAAUCCCUUCAUUGCAAUGUUGUCAGCGUUCAUCGAUUUGACAAAAGAGGAGUGCUUCAAGAAGGAUCAAAGAAAACUCACAUUUCCACUAACUAGCGAUUUUGUCGUCAAAAGUGGGUAAAAUUUUGAUGCUUCUACAGCUCCUCAUGCCUCAUCCAUCCAUGAAGUGAAUCCACACUCAUCCAUCCAUGAAGUGAAUCCAUAGUUCCACAGGGAUCUCAAGGCUCAAAACCAGUCAGCACCUAGAUUCAACCGACGGCCGAGACAUGCCGAAUCACUGAUUCAUGGAUAUUCCAUUGGGUCAUGGCAAUCCUCCCUCCAAAGUCUGCCUGCCAUCAUCUGAAUAUCUUUGCUGCCUCCCACAGGUUGCCCCCACAAUGAUCCUCCCAUCAACAUGCAUUCAACUUACCACAGCUGUCAUUUUGAGGGGCUGACGUUUGGUGGACAGCGCAGUUUCGUCGAGGCAUUUCGAGGUGUCGAGUAACGACGGUUUCGACGGCAAACAGGAAGAAUCACCAUCUGCAUGUAAGUGACAAGUGGUUAUUGGGGACUUAAGGGAUAUAAUAUAGAAGACAAUAAUGAAGAAGAAUGUUGGUAAUCAAGGAAUGGAUUUUUUUUUUUGGGACGGAGGGAGUAUGUCAUUUUGAAACAGAGGGAGUACCAAACCAGGCUGGCAAGUAGUACUGACUACAGACGAUAUUGCCCGAAGCGUAAAUCCUAUCCUAGUCAGCACACAUGAAGAAAAGUCUACAUUGCAGAGCUGAAGAAUUUGCUGUACAACUUUUAACAGGUGCCUAGUAUGCAUAUGCAUUUUUUUUAAACACAGGUUGGUUUGCUUGCAAGAUACGCGGCUUUGGCCCAUCUUUCAACUAAAAGUUAUAUUUCAAUGGAAAAUAACAUGAAGUUAACUGAAUAAGUGAAGAUAAUUUCGUCUGAAAAACUGAAAACAAUUUGAAGCACAAAAAAAGAAGUAUCCUGAAAUGCUAAGCAGGAGAAAAUUUCCCAAAAACAAGCAUUGAAUGGAACAGCUAGGAGAUUCCACUACUUCAGCUAGGU